Molecule: long non-coding RNA, 483 nt
Organism: Magnolia sinica
Lineage: Eukaryota; Viridiplantae; Streptophyta; Magnoliopsida; Magnoliales; Magnoliaceae
Exons: 2
Source: RefSeq, a predicted model, not a curated record
AUUGUUUUUUGCAUACCAUGUUUUCCAAUGGUUGUAAUACUUUGGCUUUGAACCGUUCAUGGUCGUCUAUUAAGGAUUUUCAUCGCGGGAAUAUGCCACAUGUACAGUAAAGAAAAGAGGAGGGGUAAAUGUCACCACCCGCAGGUCCCGCACUAUGAGGGCAACAAUGUGGUAAUAAUUAUUCUUGACAUAGCAUCAGACAACAUUUUGAGUUUUACCCUGGGCUUACAUAACACAUCAUUCCAAACGACAGCAACCUGUAGGCCUAGAACUCAAGAAGGCUUCAUCUAAAUAAAAUCCAGACCCUUGAAAAAGUGGCCAUAUACUUGGUUCCGUCCAUGCAUGCAAAUUAUACAAAGAAGGGUAGCAGCCAUGAAAACCAACUUCCAAUCAUGUGAAUGCGCAUGUCAAACUACCUACCUCAAACAUAAAUAAACUGGCACCAGCAUAAUCUCUUGAUCUUUGAUGCUGCUACCUGGGUCC